RNAcentral lists this long non-coding RNA (1054 nucleotides) under Pogona vitticeps (central bearded dragon). RNAcentral describes it as "lncRNA (ENSPVIG00000008394.1)". Lineage: Eukaryota; Metazoa; Chordata; Lepidosauria; Squamata; Agamidae. The record is from RNAcentral.
CUCUUGUCGUAGUCUUUCUACAACGAAUUGUAAUGCGAGGCACCACUGUACUUGUCUUUCAGGGUCCACAGCAACAUCAUCCAUUUCCGUAAUCCAGAAACCCACCUUUGUAAACCUAACAGAAGGGUCAAUGCUGAAUAUGGAAUGCUGGGUUGACGGAAACCUCACUCGCACAUGGUCUAUCACCUGGCAUAAUGAUGAAUGUGAUGGAGAGAAGAAAUUAACAAAUACAAGCCGAAUUCUAAUAACUCCAAAUGAAGCAGAGAAAAGCAGCCACUUUAGUCUGAAGAGAGCAGAUAUACAGGAUGCUGGGAACUACGUGUGUUGUUUUGGCAAUAUAGAGACCACCAAGGCUGCUGAUAACGGGACACGAGUGGCCAUUCGCGAAAUAACUGAUCUGAUGGUGAACCAGACACCUGGAGAUAUCGAAAUAAUGGAAGGGGAGAACAUUACUCUUGAGUGUCGAUUCAAGACGGUCGGCAACCUCAGCAACAUGUACGUACGGUGGUACAAAAAUGAGACCUUGCUGAGUAACCAAACGGAGGAACAAACCAUAAAUGAGGAUCUGGAAGAGGGUUUUUCUUCUCUCACUCUCUGGAAAGCUCACACGAGCCGUUCAGGAAUGUACAGGUGCGAGGUGGGCGUCAGGGGAAGGAAUCUGACCGGAUCCGGGAAGGAAUCUCGCGUUAUCAUCUCAGGACAGCUGCCCUCUGAGCAGAAGACAAAUCCAGACCAAAAGCCUGGCUCUGAAAACCACAAGGAAGCUGGUGCUGGAUUCGAAAUCGGAGUCGCAGCCGGAGCUGCCGUGGGGGUCUUCCUCUUCUUGCUGCUGAUCGGGGUCUUCGUGUGGAGACAGAAGAAGAGGGGUAAGAAGAAGGGAAGCCAGUCGCUUAGAGGAAAGCCUGCCUUGAAGAGAAAGAUCUUUUGGCCUGCUUGCGGAAGGACAGCAAAGAGGGGGCCAAGACUGGUCUCCAGUGGGAGGGAGUUCCGGAGUCUCUGGGAGCAGCCACAGAGAAGGGCCUCUCCUGUGUCCUCACCAAAUACAACUGUAUAA